This 29-nucleotide non-coding RNA is filed under the name Homo sapiens (human). Lineage: Eukaryota; Metazoa; Chordata; Mammalia; Primates; Hominidae. The record is from RNAcentral.
UNGUUGGCCAUGGCUCUUUGAUAGCAGUU